This is a non-coding RNA of Sclerotinia sclerotiorum 1980 UF-70, 152 nucleotides long. The record is from the annotation of a RefSeq genome assembly. Lineage: Eukaryota; Fungi; Ascomycota; Leotiomycetes; Helotiales; Sclerotiniaceae.
GGCCGGAUGGUGUAGUUGGUUAUGUAAGUCCACACACGCUGUCUUUCCCUCUCUUCAAUCACUAACAAUCUUGACAGCACGAUCCCUUUACAAUUGAAUCUUCAGAUCAUUUCGAACGGGGUAGGUCCAGGGUUCGAGCCCCUGUCUGGUCA